Molecule: non-coding RNA, 2720 nt
Organism: Microcebus murinus (gray mouse lemur)
Lineage: Eukaryota; Metazoa; Chordata; Mammalia; Primates; Cheirogaleidae
Source: RefSeq, a predicted model, not a curated record
AUGGCCUUUUUUGGGUACAAGUUUGGCUUUGGGAAGUGCUUUGGAGCUUCUUCUCGGUCCAGACACGGAGCUGGUCGUCGCCGAUUGUUAUAUACCCCACUUUUUGUCGCACAUCUUAAUCCUAUCAAGAAAUGGAGCCGCGGGGCCCGGCAAGCGCGGAGACGUGAGGGAGGCGGCCGGGGCUCCCGCCUCAGGAAGGGCACGCACGGAGGGGCGGCCGUGGCGCGCCGCCCGCCCCGGCGCCCCCUCCCCGGCGCCCGCCCGCAGCGCGAUAAAAGAGCCGCGUUUCCUGACGGGAGACUCGCGCUGCUGCGGCCGCCCGCCAGGCGCGACGACAGGGAGCCCCUGACGGCUGCGAGGAGCGGCGCGGGCCGUUUGCUGACCGGAUCGCGGCUGCCCACCGGCGUGUCUGCGGCGCCACCGCUGGCAUCCACAUUUCCGAGGGCCCGGCGGUGUACCAAGGCGACAAAGAGGCUGAGGUCGCGCCGGGGCCGCCGCGCCGCCACCGUCGUCAGGCGGGCCGUGCCUCGCACAGGGACAGACGGCCGCCCUGCCACCGCCCGAGGCGCGCCGGAGCCUGGCGAAGUCAGCGGCAAGAAGCAUGGAAAAAACCAAAAAUACAAAGAUCAACUUCAGGUGCUUUUAGUGUUUAUCAAAGAUGAUAAUCAGUGUAAUGGAUUCUGCAGAGCAUGUGAAAAAGCAGGGUUUAAGUGUACAGUCACCAAGGAGCCUCAGGCUGUUCUUGCCUGUUUCCUGGACAAACAUCAUGACAUCAUCAUCAUAGGCCACAGAAAUCUUCAACAUCUGACGCAGAGGCACUGUGCAGGUCUAUCAGAUCAUCAGAACUCUCAGAAAACACAGUUAUUGUUGGUGUAAUAUGCAGGGUGGAUAGAAAAGAGUUAUUUAUAAUGCCUUUCCUUGCUGCUGGAUUCACAGGAGGUAUAUUGAAAACCCCAACAUCAUGGUUUACUACAAUGAACUGCUCCAGCUGGAGUUUGGAGAGGUGCCAUCACAACUAAAAUUCAGGGCUUGCAACUCAAUAUUCACUGCAUUAGAGAAAAGUCAGGAAGCAGUUAAAAUUAUAAGUGAAGACCACAUUAUACAGUAUGCAAACCCUGCAUUUGAAACAACAAUGGGCUAUCAGGCAGGUGAAUUAAUAGGAAAGGAGAAGUGGCUAUAAAUGAAAAGAAGGCUGACUUGCUGGAUACUAGAAAUUCAUGCAUCAAGAUAGGCAAGGAGUUUACUAUGCCAAAAAGAAAAAUAGAGAUAAUGUACAACAAAAUAUGAAGAUAAUACCUGUCCUUGGACAGGGAGGAAAAAUUAGACACUAUGUCCGUUAUCUGAGUGUGCAAUAGCAACUAUAAGGCUGAGAAAAUAUCUGAAUGUGUUCAGUCUGACACUAAUACAGGUAAUCAGACAGGCAAACAUAAAGACAGAAGGGCCACUGGACGUCAGAGCUGUCGCCCACCCCACCCCCCAAUCUAGUGAAGUGUCCAGCCAGAGAGGACACUCCUCCAUGGCCCAUAUACAAUCCAUGAUGAUUGAGGCACCCAUCACCAAGGUAAUCAAUAUUAUCAAUGCUGCCCAGGAAAGCAGUCCCAUGCCUGUGACAGAGGCCCUAGACCAUGUGUUAGAAAUGCUAAGAACCACUGAAUUAUACUCACCACAGUGCAGUGCGAAGGAUGACAAGCCUCAUGCCAAUGACCUCGUUGGCGCCUUAGUGUCUGACAGUUUGCGAAGACUAUCAGGGAAUGAAUAUGUUCUUUCAACAAAAAGCAUUCAGCAGGUUUCAAGCAAUAUAAUCACUCCGAUCUCCCUUCAUAAUGUCCCACCACGGAUAUCUUGGGCCAUGGAAAUUGAGGAAUACUGGGACUUUGAUAUUUUUGAACUGGAGGCUGCCACUCACUAUAGGCCUUUGAUUUAUCUUGGUCUCAAAAUGUUUGCUCGCUUUGGAAUCUGUGAAUUCUUAAACUGCUCCGAGUCAACGCUGAGAUCAUGGUUACAAAUUAUUGAAGUCAAUUAUCAUUCUUCCAACCCCUUCCACGAUUCUACACAUUCUGCUGAUAUGCUUCACGCCUAUUUUCUCUUCAAGGAGAGAAGGAAACAUUAGAUCCAAUGGAUGAGGUUGCUGCACUCAUUGCAGCCACCAUUCAAGAUGUAGAUCACCGUGGGAGAACCAACUCCUUCCCGUGCAAUGCUGGAAGUGAGCUGGCCAUUUCGUACAAUGACAUUGCUGUGCUGGAGAGCCACCACAUGGCCUUGGCCUUCCAGCUGACCACUGGAGAUGAUAAAUGCAAUAUCUUUAAAAACAUGGAGAGGAAUGACUAUCGAACACUGUGCCAGGGGAUUAUUGACAUGAUCCUAGCCACAGAAAUGACAAAGCACUUUGAGCAUGUUAACAAAUUUGUCAAAGCCUCUGGCAUGAAAGCCCAGGAAAGAAGGAAGCACCUUUUAAAGUUUAUAAAACAGGAAGGAGAUAAUGAAAUUGGGAAAAGAAAAUUGGCAACUGUUUCCAAAGACUUCUAAAUGCGUCGCACAAGUGGCACAAUAGAAAGGUGAAAAGUGCUAUACUUUAAGAGGCUACAUAUAUAUCCAACACAAGCACAACAUAGACACAAGCACAACAUCUCAAAGUUCAUCUAAGGCUGAGCAUGGUGGCUCAUGACUGUAAUCCCAGCUCUUUGCGAGGCCAAGGCAAAGGAGGAUCCCUUGAGGCCAGG